AAAAAGGGGGGGCCUCACGGUUCCCUGGUGGAGGAGAUCACCCUUCGACAAGUACAUUUGUUGUUAUAAGAUGAUAAAACAUGAAUAGUAUUUUACUUGUGACUUAUGUUUUUAAUUUUUUAAAAAAAAAUUCAAAUAAAACGGACGGUCAAAGUUGGGCGCUGAAAAUCAUGGCUGCACUUAAA
Molecule: microRNA precursor, 185 nt
Filed under: Oryza meridionalis
Lineage: Eukaryota; Viridiplantae; Streptophyta; Magnoliopsida; Poales; Poaceae
Description: MIR812 microRNA precursor family
Rfam family: MIR812 microRNA precursor family
Source: Rfam by way of RNAcentral